RNAcentral lists this ribosomal RNA (2928 nucleotides) under Escherichia coli. RNAcentral's name for it is "23S ribosomal RNA". It matches the Rfam family "Bacterial large subunit ribosomal RNA". Lineage: Bacteria; Pseudomonadati; Pseudomonadota; Gammaproteobacteria; Enterobacterales; Enterobacteriaceae. The record is from RNAcentral.
GGGUUGUGAGGUUAAGCGACUAAGCGUACACGGUGGAUGCCCUGGCAGUCAGAGGCGAUGAAGGACGUGCUAAUCUGCGAUAAGCGUCGGUAAGGUGAUAUGAACCGUUAUAACCGGCGAUUUCCGAAUGGGGAAACCCAGUGUGUUUCGACACACUAUCAUUAACUGAAUCCAUAGGUUAAUGAGGCGAACCGGGGGAACUGAAACAUCUAAGUACCCCGAGGAAAAGAAAUCAACCGAGAUUCCCCCAGUAGCGGCGAGCGAACGGGGAGCAGCCCAGAGCCUGAAUCAGUGUGUGUGUUAGUGGAAGCGUCUGGAAAGGCGCGCGAUACAGGGUGACAGCCCCGUACACAAAAAUGCACAUGCUGUGAGCUCGAUGAGUAGGGCGGGACACGUGGUAUCCUGUCUGAAUAUGGGGGGACCAUCCUCCAAGGCUAAAUACUCCUGACUGACCGAUAGUGAACCAGUACCGUGAGGGAAAGGCGAAAAGAACCCCGGCGAGGGGAGUGAAAAAGAACCUGAAACCGUGUACGUACAAGCAGUGGGAGCCUCUCUUUAUGGGGGGUGACUGCGUACCUUUUGUAUAAUGGGUCAGCGACUUAUAUUCUGUAGCAAGGUUAACCGAAUAGGGGAGCCGAAGGGAAACCGAGUCUUAACUGGGCGUUAAGUUGCAGGGUAUAGACCCGAAACCCGGUGAUCUAGCCAUGGGCAGGUUGAAGGUUGGGUAACACUAACUGGAGGACCGAACCGACUAAUGUUGAAAAAUUAGCGGAUGACUUGUGGCUGGGGGUGAAAGGCCAAUCAAACCGGGAGAUAGCUGGUUCUCCCCGAAAGCUAUUUAGGUAGCGCCUCGUGAAUUCAUCUCCGGGGGUAGAGCACUGUUUCGGCAAGGGGGUCAUCCCGACUUACCAACCCGAUGCAAACUGCGAAUACCGGAGAAUGUUAUCACGGGAGACACACGGCGGGUGCUAACGUCCGUCGUGAAGAGGGAAACAACCCAGACCGCCAGCUAAGGUCCCAAAGUCAUGGUUAAGUGGGAAACGAUGUGGGAAGGCCCAGACAGCCAGGAUGUUGGCUUAGAAGCAGCCAUCAUUUAAAGAAAGCGUAAUAGCUCACUGGUCGAGUCGGCCUGCGCGGAAGAUGUAACGGGGCUAAACCAUGCACCGAAGCUGCGGCAGCGACGCUUAUGCGUUGUUGGGUAGGGGAGCGUUCUGUAAGCCUGUGAAGGUGUGCUGUGAGGCAUGCUGGAGGUAUCAGAAGUGCGAAUGCUGACAUAAGUAACGAUAAAGCGGGUGAAAAGCCCGCUCGCCGGAAGACCAAGGGUUCCUGUCCAACGUUAAUCGGGGCAGGGUGAGUCGACCCCUAAGGCGAGGCCGAAAGGCGUAGUCGAUGGGAAACAGGUUAAUAUUCCUGUACUUGGUGUUACUGCGAAGGGGGGACGGAGAAGGCUAUGUUGGCCGGGCGACGGUUGUCCCGGUUUAAGCGUGUAGGCUGGUUUUCCAGGCAAAUCCGGAAAAUCAAGGCUGAGGCGUGAUGACGAGGCACUACGGUGCUGAAGCAACAAAUGCCCUGCUUCCAGGAAAAGCCUCUAAGCAUCAGGUAACAUCAAAUCGUACCCCAAACCGACACAGGUGGUCAGGUAGAGAAUACCAAGGCGCUUGAGAGAACUCGGGUGAAGGAACUAGGCAAAAUGGUGCCGUAACUUCGGGAGAAGGCACGCUGAUAUGUAGGUGAAGUCCCUCGCGGAUGGAGCUGAAAUCAGUCGAAGAUACCAGCUGGCUGCAACUGUUUAUUAAAAACACAGCACUGUGCAAACACGAAAGUGGACGUAUACGGUGUGACGCCUGCCCGGUGCCGGAAGGUUAAUUGAUGGGGUUAGCGCAAGCGAAGCUCUUGAUCGAAGCCCCGGUAAACGGCGGCCGUAACUAUAACGGUCCUAAGGUAGCGAAAUUCCUUGUCGGGUAAGUUCCGACCUGCACGAAUGGCGUAAUGAUGGCCAGGCUGUCUCCACCCGAGACUCAGUGAAAUUGAACUCGCUGUGAAGAUGCAGUGUACCCGCGGCAAGACGGAAAGACCCCGUGAACCUUUACUAUAGCUUGACACUGAACAUUGAGCCUUGAUGUGUAGGAUAGGUGGGAGGCUUUGAAGUGUGGACGCCAGUCUGCAUGGAGCCGACCUUGAAAUACCACCCUUUAAUGUUUGAUGUUCUAACGUGGACCCGUGAUCCGGGUUGCGGACAGUGUCUGGUGGGUAGUUUGACUGGGGCGGUCUCCUCCUAAAGAGUAACGGAGGAGCACGAAGGUUGGCUAAUCCUGGUCGGACAUCAGGAGGUUAGUGCAAUGGCAUAAGCCAGCUUGACUGCGAGCGUGACGGCGCGAGCAGGUGCGAAAGCAGGUCAUAGUGAUCCGGUGGUUCUGAAUGGAAGGGCCAUCGCUCAACGGAUAAAAGGUACUCCGGGGAUAACAGGCUGAUACCGCCCAAGAGUUCAUAUCGACGGCGGUGUUUGGCACCUCGAUGUCGGCUCAUCACAUCCUGGGGCUGAAGUAGGUCCCAAGGGUAUGGCUGUUCGCCAUUUAAAGUGGUACGCGAGCUGGGUUUAGAACGUCGUGAGACAGUUCGGUCCCUAUCUGCCGUGGGCGCUGGAGAACUGAGGGGGGCUGCUCCUAGUACGAGAGGACCGGAGUGGACGCAUCACUGGUGUUCGGGUUGUCAUGCCAAUGGCACUGCCCGGUAGCUAAAUGCGGAAGAGAUAAGUGCUGAAAGCAUCUAAGCACGAAACUUGCCCCGAGAUGAGUUCUCCCUGACUCCUUGAGAGUCCUGAAGGAACGUUGAAGACGACGACGUUGAUAGGCCGGGUGUGUAAGCGCAGCGAUGCGUUGAGCUAACCGGUACUAAUGAACCGUGAGGCUUAACCUUACAACGCCGAAG